This is a long non-coding RNA of Myotis myotis, 1141 nucleotides long. RefSeq lists it as uncharacterized. The record is from RefSeq and is a predicted model, not a curated record. Lineage: Eukaryota; Metazoa; Chordata; Mammalia; Chiroptera; Vespertilionidae. The transcript has 2 exons.
GGCGGGGCCUGAGGGAGGAAGUGGGGCGGAGGAAGUGGGGGCGGAAGGAGCCCGUGGAGUGGCUCUUCGCGACACCAGAGAACGUUGGGCGGGCCCGACCUGCGGACGGCGGCCCGCUGGGCCCAAUGCUAACUUGUACUAAGUAGCGUGGACGCGUGGGGUAACUGGACGGCUCUCUGUAGUAGAGAUCAGGCAUGACCUCCCAUGGAUGUUCACGGGAGAUGGUGCCGCGGUUGCACAGAACUUCCCGAGCCAGCAUCCACCACAUUAGACCCACUGAUGAGCUCCUUGCUGUUGCAAGGGCUGGCAAAGUCCACAUAGCACGGAGGAGAGUCUGCGUGACACAGCGCAGUGGUCGGCAGGUUAUAAUGUAAGACGUGUCUGUGAGAAGCUGGUGGUCAGCGCUAGACCAGUAACCACCAGGAGGCUCCCGUAAGACUACCUGGGUGUGGUUAGUGAAGAUUCCAGGAGUAAAGCAGCUGGCAGUAAGAGCGGCUCCAGUGGCAAACUCAGCUUGCUGGCCAGCAUUCCUGGACGAUAUGACACUGGCGCCAGCAGGGGUUUCAAUGGCAACAGUGGCACGAACUGCCAGGAGCCUCUCCCAGGUGCUCUUCAGAUUGAUGAUGUAGAUGCCAUCACUUUUCCUUUUGUAGAUGUGCUGUUCCAUUUGGAAGUCAAGGUCGGCGCCACCUAAGUGGGUUCCUGCUGCAAGGAAUUUAAGGACAGGACAUCCUCCUCCUUCACUUGCAGGACAUCAGGGUCUCUGGACAUUGUGAAAGUUUCCAUUUCAGUUAUGUGGGAACUGAGAACAAUGCCAUAUGGGUAGUGUAGGAAGCUGUUUUCUAUUUUUUGUUUUUUAAUCCUCACCCCAGGAUAUGUUUAUUGAUUAUGGAGAGAGAGAGAAAGAGAGAAACAUGGAUGUGAGAGAGAAACAAUUAGUUGCCUCCUUUACAUGCCCCAAACGGGGAGCGAACCCGUAACCUAGGUAUGUGCCUUGACUUGGAAUUGAAUCCGAAACUAUUUUUGGUGUACAGGAUGAUGCUUCAAUCAGUUGAGCCACCCAGACAGGGCAAAGCUGCUUUUGUUUUUUUAAUAACAUGAUUAAACAAAUGUUUAAAGGAAAUAUUCACUUAUAACUGCA